GAUGAAGAACGUAGCGAAAUGCGAUAAGUAAUGUGAAUUGCAGAAUUCAGUGAAUCAUCGAGUCUUUGAACGCACAUUGCGCCCCCUGGUAUUCCGGGGGGCAUGCCUGUCCGAGCGUCAUUGCUGCCCUCAAGCACGGCUUGUGUGUUGGGCCCCCGUCCCCGGAUUCCCCCGGGGACGGGCCCGAAAGGCAGCGGCGGCACCGCGUCCGGUCCUCGAGCGUAUGGGGCUUUGUCACCCGCUCUGUAGGCCCGGCCGGCGCCAGCCGACACCCAACUUUAUUUCUAAGGUUGACCUCGGAUCAGGUAGGGAUACCCGCUGAACUUAAGCAUAUCAAUAAGCGGAGGA
RNAcentral lists this unclassified non-coding RNA (348 nucleotides) under soil metagenome. RNAcentral describes it as "partial contains 5.8S ribosomal RNA, internal transcribed spacer 2, and large subunit ribosomal RNA". The stretch from base 1 to 120 matches the Rfam family "5.8S ribosomal RNA", at positions 35 to 154 of the family's 154-position model. The record is from RNAcentral.